Small nuclear RNA from Cynocephalus volans (Philippine flying lemur), 107 nucleotides. Lineage: Eukaryota; Metazoa; Chordata; Mammalia; Dermoptera; Cynocephalidae. The record is from RefSeq and is a predicted model, not a curated record.
AUGAUCAUUUCAGCAGCACAGGUACUAAAACUGCAACAAUUCGGAAAAGAUUAGCAUAGCUCUUACAUAAGUACGAGACACAAAUUAACAACUUAUCCUGCAUUUUU